AACGAACGCUGGCGGCAGGCCUAACACAUGCAAGUCGAACGCCCGUAGCAAUACGGGAGUGGCAGACGGGUGAGUAACGCGUGGGAACGUGCCCUUCGGUUCGGAAUAACUCAGGGAAACUUGAGCUAAUACCGGAUACGUCCGUAAGGAGAAAGAUUUAUCGCCGAAGGAUCGGCCCGCGUCGGAUUAGCUAGUUGGUGAGGUAACGGCCCACCAAGGCGACGAUCCGUAGCUGGUCUGAGAGGAUGAUCAGCCACACUGGGACUGAGACACGGCCAGACUCCUACGGGAGGCAGCAGUGGGGAAUAUUGGACAAUGGGCGAAAGCCUGAUCCAGCCAUGCCGCGUGAGUGAAGAAGGCCUUAGGGUUGUAAAGCUCUUUCAGCGGGGAAGAUAAUGACGGUACCCGCAGAAGAAGCCCGGCUAACUUCGUGCCAGCCGCCGCGGUAAC
This 450-nucleotide ribosomal RNA is filed under the name uncultured bacterium. RNAcentral describes it as "bacterial SSU rRNA". It matches the Rfam family "Bacterial small subunit ribosomal RNA", at positions 29 to 524 of the family's 1533-position model. The record is from RNAcentral.